AAAUUGAAGAGUUUGAUCAUGGCUCAGAUUGAACGCUGGCGGCAGGCCUAACACAUGCAAGUCGAACGGUAGCACAGAGAGCUUGCUCUCGGGUGACGAGUGGCGGACGGGUGAGUAAUGUCUGGGAAACUGCCUGAUGGAGGGGGAUAACUACUGGAAACGGUAGCUAAUACCGCAUAACGUCGCAAGACCAAAGAGGGGGACCUUCGGGCCUCUUGCCAUCAGAUGUGCCCAGAUGGGAUUAGCUAGUAGGUGGGGUAAUGGCUCACCUAGGCGACGAUCCCUAGCUGGUCUGAGAGGAUGACCAGCCACACUGGAACUGAGACACGGUCCAGACUCCUACGGGAGGCAGCAGUGGGGAAUAUUGCACAAUGGGCGCAAGCCUGAUGCAGCCAUGCCGCGUGUAUGAAGAAGGCCUUCGGGUUGUAAAGUACUUUCAGCGGGGAGGAAGGUGUUGUGGUUAAUAACAGCAAUUGACGUUACCCGCAGAAGAAGCACCGGCUAACUCCGUGCCAGCAGCCGCGGUAAUACGGAGGGUGCAAGCGUUAAUCGGAAUUACUGGGCGUAAAGCGCACGCAGGCGGUCUGUCAAGUCGGAUGUGAAAUCCCCGGGCUCAACCUGGGAACUGCAUUCGAAACUGGCAGGCUAGAGUCUUGUAGAGGGGGGUAGAAUUCCAGGUGUAGCGGUGAAAUGCGUAGAGAUCUGGAGGAAUACCGGUGGCGAAGGCGGCCCCCUGGACAAAGACUGACGCUCAGGUGCGAAAGCGUGGGGAGCAAACAGGAUUAGAUACCCUGGUAGUCCACGCCGUAAACGAUGUCGACUUGGAGGUUGUUCCCUUGAGGAGUGGCUUCCGGAGCUAACGCGUUAAGUCGACCGCCUGGGGAGUACGGCCGCAAGGUUAAAACUCAAAUGAAUUGACGGGGGCCCGCACAAGCGGUGGAGCAUGUGGUUUAAUUCGAUGCAACGCGAAGAACCUUACCUACUCUUGACAUCCAGAGAACUUUCCAGAGAUGGAUUGGUGCCUUCGGGAACUCUGAGACAGGUGCUGCAUGGCUGUCGUCAGCUCGUGUUGUGAAAUGUUGGGUUAAGUCCCGCAACGAGCGCAACCCUUAUCCUUUGUUGCCAGCGGUCCGGCCGGGAACUCAAAGGAGACUGCCAGUGAUAAACUGGAGGAAGGUGGGGAUGACGUCAAGUCAUCAUGGCCCUUACGAGUAGGGCUACACACGUGCUACAAUGGCGCAUACAAAGAGAAGCGACCUCGCGAGAGCAAGCGGACCUCAUAAAGUGCGUCGUAGUCCGGAUUGGAGUCUGCAACUCGACUCCAUGAAGUCGGAAUCGCUAGUAAUCGUAGAUCAGAAUGCUACGGUGAAUACGUUCCCGGGCCUUGUACACACCGCCCGUCACACCAUGGGAGUGGGUUGCAAAAGAAGUAGGUAGCUUAACCUUCGGGAGGGCGCUUACCACUUUGUGAUUCAUGACUGGGGUGAAGUCGUAACAAGGUAACCGUAGGGGAACCUGCGGUUGGAUCACCUCCUUACCUUAAAGAA
RNAcentral lists this ribosomal RNA (1547 nucleotides) under Leclercia adecarboxylata. RNAcentral describes it as "bacterial SSU rRNA". It matches the Rfam family "Bacterial small subunit ribosomal RNA". The record is from RNAcentral. Lineage: Bacteria; Pseudomonadati; Pseudomonadota; Gammaproteobacteria; Enterobacterales; Enterobacteriaceae.